Long non-coding RNA from Astatotilapia calliptera (eastern happy), 600 nucleotides. The record is from Ensembl. Lineage: Eukaryota; Metazoa; Chordata; Actinopteri; Cichliformes; Cichlidae.
GGCUGCAGUCAGAGCAUUGUAAGGGUGUCAUGGUCUGGUUGGGCACCUGCAGGUCUCAGACAGCGGCUCCUCCUCCUUUAGGCGGAGUCCGGUUGCCCCUCCCUGGCUGACCACCUGUGAGCAAUCGUGCCAGCGGUAUAUCAGACCUGCGCUCUCAACCACUCAUCGCCUGAGUAUCUCCUAUUCCCAUCGAUAGCACCCGGAGUGGAGAUCUUGUUCCCCUCGCUCCCGUCCUCCUGGACCUGGGCCGCCAGCUGCUCACACAACGUGGCCGGCCGACCCACUGCUCACCUGCCUGCCUCCCCACGCCUCGACCGCUUCCGGGUUUUCCGCUCCACCUGUCCCCUCCAUCUGAAACCAAGUAAGGCAAUUCAAUUCAACUGCGGAGGAUUAUUGGUUGUCUGCUGGAUCCCUCUGAUCGUGAUCUCCUCUUGUUCCAGUGCCCCGGCCCCUACCUAGUCCUGUUUCUACCUCCCCGCUGUCCCCGCUGUUCAGCCGUCUCCUAGAGGUGUCUAGGUCGCCCUCAUUUUCACAGACUAAUCCUACGCGCCACUAGUGUGGUGGCGUCGCUUUGUGUUUCACAUUUGUUUUCCUGUGGGC